This is an RNA transcript of Manihot esculenta (cassava), 1475 nucleotides long. It is a transcript of the gene named dual specificity protein phosphatase 1, with no coding region annotated. The transcript is spliced from 9 exons. Lineage: Eukaryota; Viridiplantae; Streptophyta; Magnoliopsida; Malpighiales; Euphorbiaceae. The record is from RefSeq and is a predicted model, not a curated record.
CCCAUCAGAAACACCGAGCUCAGAGUGAAGAUGGAUGACCCCAACAAAGAAUUCUCUUUAUUUUAAAAUUUCCCUUUCCCGACGAGAAUCAAUUGCCACGAUCGGAAGAUAAAAGUAUUAGAGAAUCACGAUCCGCCAACAACAUUUUGCUGUCAUUAUUUUCUGGAGGAGAUUAACAGACUUUGAAGGAGAAUUAUUAAAAACGAGUUGAGAAGUUUUGCUCUUCCUAGUAAUGGAUAAGAUUGACGAUUCAAUUAAGAACCAAAUAGCUGUACUUUGGCGAGUUACAAAUGCGACAAGAUGCUUCAAGGAGGACAACGCUCCUUGCCAGAUCGAAGGGGGCCUCUUCUUAGGUUCUGUUGGUGCUGCAAACAAUAAGGAUCUACUGAAAAGCAACAACAUUACACACAUCUUAACAGUUGCUAAUUCUUUGGCUCCUGCUCAUCGAAAUGAUUUUAUAUAUAAAGUCAUUGGAGUUGUGGAUAGAGAAGACACAAAUUUGAGGCAAUACUUUGAUGAUUGCAUCAAUUUUAUUGAUGAAGCUAAAAGACAGGGUGGUGGUUGUUUGGUUCACUGCUUUGUUGGAAGAUCCAGAAGCGUCACAAUUGUUGUUGCCUAUCUGAUGAAAAAGCAUGGCAUGAGCGUAUGCCAAGCUCUUGAAUAUGUGAAGAGCAGACGACCUCAGGCUGCUCCUAACUCAGGCUUCAUCUCACAAUUGCAAGACGUUGAGAAAUCUCUUCAAGGCCUUCAACCCUAAUGCGCAAACGAAGACGAGAAGGGCAUGGAAAGUCUAAGCAGUGCUGGAUUCUGCAUUUGUUGCUUAUUCGAAAAGUAUAGCAGAAUAAACUUCAAAUUGGAAGCAGAUUGAUUAUGGCAAACAACACUACAAUAGAGGGAAUGAUGGUAUUAAAUACUCCUCGCUGGUUAAAAGAGGGCUGGAAUGACACAGACUUUAGUAUUUAUUUUGUCAUGGGUGGUCUCUGUUACCAACUAGCCAUGAGAGAGAGACUGUGUGAUCGAACAAUUUUAGUUCCUUGCAGUAAUUGGUAAGUUUGUAUUUGUAAUCAAUUGAGGAUACAAGGAGAGGUUUAUACAGAACGGCUACAUGAGGUUAUAGGUUGGGAGCUUUGGCACAAAAAGAAGAGAGGACAGAGGACCGAGUACCGUGCUGUGCCCUAAUAAAUUAACAGCAUUAUGCUUGUUGGAAAGCACGCUCGGCAAGUUGCUUCAAUGUUGUCCGUUUGACCAGGAAAAGGACGGCACGCUUUCGUAAUCAAGCUGGGUUAUGGCAAAAGGCUAAAAAUCAUAGGGGGGCUUCUGCAUUCUGAAGUGAGAUUUCGAAAUCAGACUGCCAAUAUCUCUUAAUAGCCACCAUGAACUACUAUACGCUCUUUGAGCAUGUAAUCCAAGACAUGAAUAACAUGUACCAGUAAAGCUAUUUAAUUCAACUAAGCUUCCAGAGGGCUUGUCCGUAA